UUGCUUAGAAUUUUUUCACCUAGCGAAAGGGUGUGAAGGAGUGAACUACCAAGUGGGAGUUUAAUACCCAUUAGUAGUGUUUGCUUUUCAGUCAUAGCUAAUGCUCAUGGAUUUCUCAGGAAAUGGGCCUAAGAGGACUAACCCAACUACUAGGGAUUGACCUAGUCAACUACUACAACAAUUCCAACUACCAGAAGCGGUGUAGAAUAUGUGACAAUGCAACAACAACUACUGAUAAUCCUGAUGCUGCUUUCUUUUGGGCCUAGUGGCAGAACUAAAUCGCGCAAUGGUCAGUGAUAGAUUAGAAUGUCUAAAUCAAGUUCUUGGCUAUAUAAGAAUAAUGCUUGGUGUACAGACACAGUUUACAGAAUUGGUAUACAUAUGGCAGACUCCUAUUGAGUGUUGACUAUGAUCCAUUUAUUUAAAGGACCACUUGCAGUUGGCCAAUUCACUUUGUAUUCAAGUUUUGUAGACUAGUUUAAGUAAAUCUAUCAUGACUCUUUCUAUAUUGACAAUACCGUUAUUUUUUUAAGUAAUGUUGCUUAUGUCUCGAGUCCUUGAUUCUCUGAUAUUUAGCUGUAGUUACAAUGACUGAUUUAUUGAGGUUUCUACGUUAUCUUGCCUACUUUAUUUUCUUAUUUAAGGUGCAGCUUUAAAGACUGAGGAAUGCUUGGUGCUGUAUGUGGGAGGGAAUUUCAAUGGGGGUGGGGGAAGAAGAUUUUUAACAGGAACCCUAUGUGGGGUUGGAGUUUGAUACCGCAGAUGAUGCUCAUAUAUUCUAUGGCAAUAUUGCAUCACGAGUGGGUUUUAGAAUACGGUCUGGUCUAUCGAUUGCAAGUGGAUGGAUCAGUUUGUAAUAGGAGAUUUGUGUGCUAGAAAGAGGGUUUCUGAUUAAUUCAAGGACAGGAUGCCCUGCAUUCAUAAGGGUGAAAAUAUCUGACUCUGGCAAGUAGGUCCUUGACCAAUUUGUGAAAGAUCACAGUCAUGAUCUCAACGUUUGUGAGGAGAAUCAUCCUGCCAAUUCCUUGUGCAAAAGUUCAGCAACAACUGCUAAAGUAGUUGAUUUGUGCCGUAAGCCACAGAUAAAACAGCUUGAUGUUGUUGAUAAUGGAUGCUCAUCUUCUUCAAGUA
This is a long non-coding RNA of Eucalyptus grandis, 1131 nucleotides long. RefSeq lists it as uncharacterized. NCBI's taxonomy places the organism in Eukaryota, Viridiplantae, Streptophyta, Magnoliopsida, Myrtales, Myrtaceae. The transcript has 2 exons. The record is from RefSeq and is a predicted model, not a curated record.